UUUGUGCCCAUUCUCCCACAUUUUGCUUCCAGCUACACACUUCUAAGUGUGUAGCAACCCCUAAGACUUAGAUUCUUAAGUUAUGCUGUUCGGUUUAUUCCUUCUCUCAAGUUUCAAAUGCCAAGGUUCUUUGAUGUUUUGGUGGGAAAUGAAGAAAAAGUUCAAAGCUUAAUCUUUGAAGCCCAUUUGAGGUAAAGAGAGAUGAAAUCUUAAGCCCAUGGAGACAUGGUUGACUUAGUUGUAAUUUUGUGUUCUGGUAAAUCCUAUGGUAGAGUUUGACCUAUUCUUGAUUGCUUUUUUAUUGAAAGCAUGGGUUUUUAUGGCUUAAAGUUUGAUGCUUUGGUUGAUUUGUGCUUUGAAGAUGCUAUGCAUGCCACAAUUUUGUUCAUGUAUAUGUGAUAUGCAUUUUUUUUAUAAAAAAAUUAAGCGUUUGUAUUGUUGUUUCCUCGAGCUUUAUAUUGGAAUAUUUGAGCUAAGGUGUCAAAGGUGUUUUGUUGAAAUUUAUACAAGAUUUAAUGGAGAAAAAUGAGACAUAAGAUUGCAUA
Glycine soja is the source of this 545-nucleotide long non-coding RNA. RefSeq lists it as uncharacterized. The record is from RefSeq and is a predicted model, not a curated record. The transcript is spliced from 2 exons. NCBI's taxonomy places the organism in Eukaryota, Viridiplantae, Streptophyta, Magnoliopsida, Fabales, Fabaceae.